Molecule: small nuclear RNA, 199 nt
Filed under: Gopherus agassizii (Agassiz's desert tortoise)
Lineage: Eukaryota; Metazoa; Chordata; Testudines; Testudinidae
Description: U2 spliceosomal RNA (ENSGAGG00000003503.1)
Rfam family: U2 spliceosomal RNA
About the family: U2 is a small nuclear RNA (snRNA) component of the spliceosome (involved in pre-mRNA splicing). Complementary binding between U2 snRNA (in an area lying towards the 5' end but 3' to hairpin I) and the branchpoint sequence (BPS) of the intron results the bulging out of an unpaired adenosine, on the BPS, which initiates a nucleophilic attack at the intronic 5' splice site, thus starting the first of two transesterification reactions that mediate splicing.
Source: Rfam by way of RNAcentral
AUUGCUUUUUGGUUCCCUGGAGCUAAAAUCAAAACAUAAUGUGUGUUAUUCUCAGUACAAUCUGAGAUAUGUCUUUGAUGUGAGGACUGUAUAUUAACCUGAUUUUUGAAAGAAGGGGAUUAGUGAGAACAGGAGCUUGCUUUGUCUAUCCCAUGCAUGAAUCUAGUACUGCAGUAUCUCCAGGAAGGAUAUAUCUCUA